AGAUUUUUUAAGGCCCCCCCUAUGGCAAUCGAAGCAGCCCUGACAAGAAAAACGAGAUAGUGUGCGGUUGAUCGGUCAUGCAAUCUGUCAAAUAUUCAAAAAAUAAAGUUUGUUUACAUUUUGAACCGAACGAUAGCUCUCACGAUGUACAACGGCGAAUGAUUAAAAAAAGGCUACAUCAGUGAUGAAAAUGUUGUGUGUAAUGUGUAAAAUAAACAGCCAAAAAAUUAUAAAUGGUGGUAGAAUCGACUUCGCACGCCUGAAAGCCGUUUAGGCUGUUGUGCAACCGUGUUGAGCCGGCGAACGUUCGAAAGCGGGAAGAAAGAAUGCCGGCAAUCCAACUAAACGAUGUUCGAUCAUGGAAAACAAGUUAAAAAGCAUACAAAGCUCGCUCGCCGUUGGACGCUUGGACAAUUACAUUUACAAUCAUUCGGUGAUCAGUUUGCGAAACGUCUUGCCGCACGCCUGGUACAGGCCCUUCUUGUCCGCCCCGGCAUCGAUCGUGGACUGAUUGUUCGGCAGCGUCAGCAUCAUCACCUUCAUCUGCGGGUAGUUGUGGUACGGCACAGUUCCGGUCGCCAUCUCGAUCGCGGUAAUGCCGAACGACUAGAAGCCGUAUCCGUGGUCCCGCUCCGUCUCCUCCGGCGCCAUCCAGCACGACGUGCCGAUAAACGUGUGGUACACCUUCUGCCGCGACAUGUCUCCAUCGGUGGCGAGCCACGCGCUCAUCCGCUAUAUUUAAGGAGCCGUCGUCGCCGGGCAGUAUGAUGGCCACCUUGAUGUCCACGUAAUGAGCAAUGCGAAAUGUGCUCUCAAUUGGCAAGCGCACAGCAAGAAACGUUACCGACAGUCUUUGUCGCCGUGAAAAUGCUUCUAAUGCACGGGUGAGUUGCAUUAUAACUACAAGCAUACGUUUUUUUUCCUUUCUUUAAUUUCAGCUAAUGCCAGACGAACGAUCGAAUGACUGUUGCUUCGGAAGGGAGGUCGCAUUACAGAUACCGACUUGGACAUGAUCCAGUCGGUCGGUUGCAGUUGCUCCAUGGUGCUUCGGAUAAGGCAACAACGGAGAAGCGCUCCGGACGCUCCGGAGAAGCUGAUCGAGAUCGGCGAAGCGGUGUAGUGUUGUGAUAUAGUGAUUGUGUGUACAUUUAAGGUGUAAAGGGUGAUUAAUGCUAGUAACGUUGUGUAAUGUUAUGCAGAACAAAAUGCAGCAUAAAUGGCGAUGAGCCAGCAUUGUUUAAAGGUGCCGGAUGUUAUACGUUAGAGCCGUUCUUUGUGGUGUGAUGUGUUAACAUAUUAAACCAGUAUUAGGAUUAGGAUAUAAUUAGGAUUUAAACCAGUGCCGUUGAAUAAAAUAGUGUACAACAGGUUAGAAAACAUUCCGUGUAUUUUGUUUUGUUUUUUUAAAGCUCUUUCGAUUACCUAUUACGGAAGCAAAUAUGUUUCACUAAUGUGCAAAAGAAUGGCUCACUGGCUGGUUAGUGCAGACUAUGAUCGGAUGCGCAUUUCCCUACGCCGCAGUGCCGGGUGCAUCAUACGUCGGUGUUGGGUUGCUGUUACUGGGCCGAGCGUAUGCGCGUGCACACGUGGGAAUAAACGACACGCAACCGUGGUGAUAUCACAGAAACUAUAUAUUUUGUUCUAUUUCAUCAUAAACAAUUCUUGCCAUUAAUUGCUGUUUUUAGGUAUUUUAUAUUGCAUCGGUACUAUUAUCGUGUUCAAAGGCUUUUUCGAGAAAUGCCAAUACAUAAAUCGGUUAGUCCGUUUAUAUCGGUUUCUCAAACCCCUGCAAGCAAUGGUCAAUCAUUUCAGUCUUAAACUUUUGACGAACGAAUGCCUGGUCGCUAGCUGCAGCUUCCCAUCGAUGUAGGCACACGAUCUUCGAGAUUUUACUUCACCUGAUCUAGCCAUCGAACUCGCUGUGCUUCCUUGCUUCUAGUACCGAACUGAGAGCCGCUCGAACACCUAGCUGCUGGGGCACGAGGCUGCCUUCUUCACCACAUGCUCCAGCCAUCGCAAACAGCCAUGUCCGGUGCGCCAUACGGCUUCAGUAAGCUCGUGGAUGAUCAUUCGCAUCCACACCCCAUGCUCGAAUUCACCGCCAAAGAUGAUCCGGAGGAUGCGUUGGCCGUCGUGUUUCGCCGCUGUCCUUUGCAUGCUGUAAAGAAACAUACCUAUUCAUCGUCGGCCAAUGGUGCAGCACGAGCGCAACGUGAUACAUCGUGACAUCAUCCGGAAAACUUGCAGCUGGGGCACGGUGGUGAUCUGAAGAUAGUUGAUUUUGGUUGUUCAGCCGCACACAAAAACUGUCGAUCUAUGGAAUUUGGGCGUGCUGGCGUAAGGCCCCGUUUUUGGCGACCACGUAUGAAGAAUCGUACCGUAAAAUUAUGAAGCUGCAGUUUAAGAUGCCGCCAGAUGUAACGAAGCCGGCGGCCCAUCUGAUCUCGCGACUGUUCGUUAAGGAUCUGGCCAGCCGUAUGCCGCUGAAACAUGUUGCGUCCAUCCCUGGAUUCUGCUGCACGUGCACAAAAAGUAAAUAGGAAUUGCUGCUACCAUGUACCAUAUAUCGUUAUGUUCUCACUAAGUAUGUUUAUAAGAUACCUGUACCUUUUAGUUUUUUAAACCCUAUCUCUUAUAAGAAGUAGUGGUAUUUGAAUUGAAUAUGAACAAGGCAAGUGUAAUGAUAAGUAAUGAUAAUUGUUAUUUGUGUGUUCACUCAAAUGUUAUUAUACUUUCUUCAUGUUCAACAUCUGUUAUUAUUUCAAUUAUUAACAAUAAAAUAUGGCAAAAUAUUUUUUAAGCUAUA
This is a long non-coding RNA of Anopheles arabiensis, 2806 nucleotides long. RefSeq lists it as uncharacterized. NCBI's taxonomy places the organism in Eukaryota, Metazoa, Arthropoda, Insecta, Diptera, Culicidae. The record is from RefSeq and is a predicted model, not a curated record. The transcript has 5 exons.